CUCGUAGCUUGCUAUGAGAACAAUUAGUGACAGACGGGUGAGUAAUGCAUAGGAAUCUACCUAGUAGUAUAGGAUAGCCACUAGAAAUGGUGGGUAAUACUGUAUAAUCCCUGCGGGGGAAAGAUUUAUCGCUACAUGAUGAGCCUAUGUUAGAUUAGCUAGUUGGUGGAGUAAUGGCCUACCAAGGCAGUGAUCUAUAGCUGGUCUGAGAGGAUGAUCAGCCACACUGGAACUGAGACACGGUCCAGACUCCUACGGGAGGCAGCAGUGGGGAAUAUUGGACAAUGGGCGCAAGCCUGAUCCAGCUAUGCCGCGUGAGUGAGGAAGGCCUUAGGGUUGUAAAACUCUUUCAGUGGGGAAGAUAAUGACGGUACCCACAGAAGAAGUCCCGGCAAACUCCGUGCCAGCAGCCGCGGUAAUACGGAGGGGGCAAGCGUUGUUCGGAAUUAUUGGGCGUAAAGGGCAUGUAGGCGGUUCGGUAAGUUAAAGGUGAAAUGCCAGGGCUUAACCCUGGAGCUGCUUUUAAUACUGCCAGACUGGAGUCCGGGAGA
RNAcentral lists this ribosomal RNA (551 nucleotides) under Anaplasma bovis. RNAcentral describes it as "bacterial SSU rRNA". It matches the Rfam family "Bacterial small subunit ribosomal RNA", at positions 72 to 655 of the family's 1533-position model. Lineage: Bacteria; Pseudomonadati; Pseudomonadota; Alphaproteobacteria; Rickettsiales; Anaplasmataceae. The record is from RNAcentral.